Molecule: ribosomal RNA, 253 nt
Filed under: uncultured bacterium
Lineage: Bacteria
Description: partial 16S ribosomal RNA
Rfam family: Bacterial small subunit ribosomal RNA
Source: RNAcentral
UACAGAGGGUGCGAGCGUUAAUCGAAAUUACUGGGCGUAAAGCGCGCGCAGGCGGCGGUGCUGGCCCGGCGUGAAAGCCCCCGGCUCAACCGGGGAGGGUCGUCGGGGACCGCACCGCUUGAGGGCGGUAGGGGCUGGUGGAAUGCCUGGUGUAGUGGUGAAAUGCGUAGAGAUCAGGCGGAACACCCGUGGCGAAGGCGGCCAGCUGGGCCGUCCCUGACGCUGAGGCGCGAAGGCGUGGGGAGCGAACGGG